GACGAACGCUGGCGGCGUGCUUAACACAUGCAAGUCGUACGAUGGCCCGGCUCUUCGGCGCUGGUGAUUAUUGGCGCACGGGUGAGUGACACGUGGGUGACCUGCACUGCACUCUGGGAUAAGCCCGCGGAACUGGGUCUAAUACUGGAUACGAUCAGUGGCCGCGUGGUCUGCUGGUGGGAAGCACGUCGUGGUGGUGUGGGAUGGGCGCGCGGCCUAUGAGUUUGUUGGUGGGGUGAUCGCCGACCAAGGAGGCGAGCGGUGGCUAGCCUGAGAGGGUGUCCGGCCACACUGGGACUGAGACACGACUCAGACUCCUAGGGGCAGCAGCGGUGGUGAAUCUAUGGCAGUGGGCGAGAGCCUGCUGCAGCGACGCCGUGUGGGAGAUGACGGGCUUCGGAUUCUCAACCUCUUGCGGCAGGGAACAGGCCUGGGGGUUUUCUUCUGGGUGACGGUACCUGCGGAAGAAGCACCGGCUAACUACGUG
Molecule: ribosomal RNA, 487 nt
Filed under: uncultured bacterium
Lineage: Bacteria
Description: partial 16S ribosomal RNA
Rfam family: Bacterial small subunit ribosomal RNA
Source: RNAcentral